RNAcentral lists this ribosomal RNA (232 nucleotides) under uncultured bacterium. Its description in RNAcentral is "partial 16S ribosomal RNA". It matches the Rfam family "Bacterial small subunit ribosomal RNA", at positions 99 to 334 of the family's 1533-position model. The record is from RNAcentral.
CGGACGGGUGAGUAAUGCUUGGGAAUCUAGCUUAUGGAGGGGGAUAACUACGGGAAACUGUAGCUAAUACCGCGUAAUAUCGAAAGAUUAAAGUGUGGGACCUUCGGGCCACAUGCCAUAGGAUGAGCCCAAGUGGGAUUAGGUAGUUGGUGAGGUAAAGGCUCACCAAGCCGACGAUCUCCAGCUGGUCUGAGAGGAUGACCAGCCACACUGGGACUGAGACACGGCCCAG